CCUACGGGUGGCAGCAGUGAGGAAUAUUGGUCAAUGGGCGAGAGCCUGAACCAGCCAAGUCGCGUGAAGGAUGACGGCCCUACGGGUUGUAAACUUCUUUUGUCAGGGAGCAAUUGAGUCCACGUGUGGGCUUAGCGAGAGUACCUGAAGAAAAAGCAUCGGCUAACUCCGUGCCAGCAGCCGCGGUAAUACGGAGGAUGCGAGGGUUACCGGGGUUUAUGGGGUUUAAAGGGUGCGUAGGCGGAAUACCAAGUCAGCGGUAAAAAUUCGGGGCUCAACCCCGUCGUGCCGUUGAAACUGGUGUUCUUGAGUGGGCGAGAAGUAUGCGGAAUGCGUGGUGUAGCGGUGAAAUGCAUAGAUAUCACGAAGAACUCCGAUUGCGAAGGCAGCAUGCCGGCGCCCAACUGACGCUGAAGCACGAAAGCGUGGGUAUCGAACAGGAUUAGAUACCCCUGUAGUC
This 460-nucleotide ribosomal RNA is filed under the name uncultured bacterium. Its description in RNAcentral is "partial 16S ribosomal RNA". It matches the Rfam family "Bacterial small subunit ribosomal RNA", at positions 338 to 795 of the family's 1533-position model. The record is from RNAcentral.